GACGAACGCUGGCGGCGUGCUUAACACAUGCAAGUCGAACGGAAAGGCCCUGCAUUUGUGGGGUGCUCGAGUGGCGAACGGGUGAGUAACACGCGAGUAACCUGCCCUUGAUUUUGGGAUAACUUCAGGAAACUGGGGCUAAUACCUGAUAGGAGUUCCUGCUGCAUGGGGGGGGGUGGAAAGUUUCGGCGGUUGGGGUUGGAUGCGCGGCUUAUCAGCUUGUUGGUGGGGUAGGGGCUUACCAAGGCUUUGACGGGUAGCAGGCCUGAGAGGGUGACCGGCCACAUUAGGACUGGGAUACGGCCCGGACUACUACGGGAGGCAGCAGUGGGGAAGAUUGCACGAUGGGCGGAAGCCUGAUGCAGCAACGCCGCGUGCGGGAUGACGGCCUUCGGGUUGUAGACCGCUUUCACCUGUGACGAAGCGUGAGUGCAGGUAAUGGAUAAAGAAGCACCGGCUAACUACGUG
Molecule: ribosomal RNA, 468 nt
Filed under: uncultured bacterium
Lineage: Bacteria
Description: partial 16S ribosomal RNA
Rfam family: Bacterial small subunit ribosomal RNA
Source: RNAcentral